CAUUCGGUGGAUGGCUCGGCUCGGGCGCCUAGGAAGGGCGCGGCAAGCGGCGAUAUGCCCGGGGUAGGCGCAAGCAGCCUCUGAUCCCGGGAUUCCCGAAUGGGACUUCCUGCCCGUUAGGGCGUUCCCGCCUAAAAAGUGGGAACGGGAACUCUCCGAACGGAAGCAUCUUAGUAGGAGAAGGAAGAGAAAUCAAAAGAGAUUCCCUGAGUAGGGGCGACCGAAAGGGGAAUAGCCCAAACCAAAUCUGCCGGUGAUAAGCCGGUGGAGAUGUGGUGUUAUGCUUCUUGCCUGCGGGUUCGACUCGCGACCUUCCUAGCUCAUCUAGCCGAACUCCUCUGGAAUGAGGGACCAUGGAGGGUGAUAGUCCCGUAGGUUAAAGAUGAGUGGAAGGUGGCAAGAAGCAGAGUACCAUCCCCUGAUUUGGGGGUGGGAAGUUAGGGGACACGUGCCUCUAAGGCUAAAUACGUCCCGAGACCGAUAGCGAACUAAGUACUGUGAAGGAAAGCUGAAAAGAACCCCGGAAGGGGAGUGAAAAGAGCCUGAAACCGAAUGGUUACACAGGGCAGAGCUCGAAAGAGAUGAGCUCUUCCAAAGGAGGGGGACGCAAGUCCCUAGUACGAGGAAGGGUGAUCGGGGUUCUGCUUUUCGUCUUGAAACACGGGCCGGGGAGCUCAUAUCAGUGGCGAGCCUAAGAGGGUAAACCUCGAAGGCAUAGGGAAACCGAGUGCUCGCAACUCAGGCAACUGAGUGAGGAGCAGGGUCUGUCAGGGCCUGAAGUCACUGGUAUGAGGCUAGAAACCGGGCGAUCUAGACCAGGGCAGGCUGAAGCCGGGGGAAACUCCGGUGGAGGGCCGAAUGGGGGUUCUGACGUGCAAUUCGUUCCCUUGACCUUGGUCUAGGGGCAAAAGACCAAUCUAGCCCGGUGAUAUCUAGUUCCUCCCGAAAUGCGCCCUAGCGCAGCCUCUCUGGAGGUGGCUUGCGGGGUAGAGAGACUGAUUGGGGGUUGGUAGCGAAAGCUACCGAUUUCCAGUCAAACUCCGAACCUGCGGGCGCCUGAGAAGGAGGGAGUGGAUCACUCAGCGUAAGGUCGAGUGGUAAGAGGGGAACAACCCCAACUCGGGUUAAGGUCCCUAAGUACUGGCUAAGUGCAAACUGAAAAGCGUCUCAAGCCCUAGACAGCGGGUAGGUGGGCCCAGCAGCAGCCAUCCUCUAAGGAGUGCGUAACAGCUCACCCGCCGAGGCUUGAGGCCUUUAAGACUGGUCGGGGCUAAAGCCAGUCACCGAGACCCGAGGGGUGGGACUCAAUGAGUCUCACCAGGUAGGGAGGCGCCGUGAUAGGUGAGAAGGUGGGUCGAGAGAUCCACUGGACCUUUCACGGGUGCAGAUCCCGGCGGCAGUAAUAGCGAAAGGGAGUGAGAAUCUCCCUCGCCGAAAGGGCAAGGGUUUCCCGGCAAUGGUCGUCAGCCGGGAGUGAGCCGGUCCUAAGGUGAGGCCUAACUGGUACUCACCGAAAGGGAAAGGAGUUAAUAUUCUCCUGCCUCGGAGGUAGGUGCGGUAACGCAUGCUAGACUCCUGACGGAUCGAGGUAGGGAGAAUGAGGCCACCGCCUCAUCCAAGUACUUAAGUCCCUGGAGAGCCGUAAUGGUGAGAAGGGGACGAAGGUGCGAUGGGCUUUCCGUAUGGAGAGUUCUCCUGAUCCUUGGUUCCCAUGAAAAGGGAGUCUAGAACGAUCCUCCGAGUCCGUACCCAGAACCGACACAGGUGCCCCUAGGUGAGAAGCCUAAGGCGUCUGGGGGUUAACUCAGUCUAGGGAACUCGGCAAAAUGGUCCUGUACCUUCGGAAGAAGGGAUGCCUACCAUUGUAGUAACCCUGCAAUGGUAGGUCGCAGUGACCAGGGGGAUCUGACUGUUUAAUAAAAACAUAGGUCCUCGCUAGCCCGUAAGGGUGAGAACGGGGGCUAAAUCCUGGCCACUGGCGGUCGGUUAAACUCGGGCUCAACCGAGCGAAGCCCCGCUGAAGGCCGGGGGUAACUCUGACCCUCUCAAGGUAGCCAAAUGCCUUGCCGGGCAAGUUCCGGCGUGCAUGAAUGGAUCAACGUGAUCCCCACUGUCCCAGACUGGGGCCCCAUGAACGCCCAGAGUGGGUUCACAGUCCCGCAACCUCCAACACCGAGAGAAGACCCCGUGGAGCUUAACUGCAGCCUGGCGCUGGUUCCCGGGCGUCUAUGCGUAGAGUAAGUGGGAGGCGUCGAAGCCAUCCCUCUGGGGAUGGUGGAGCCGAAAGUGAAACACCACUCAUAGAUGCUCGGGAACCUAACCCCGAAAGGGGAACAACGUCAGGUGGGCAGUUCGGCUGGGGCGGCACUCCCGCGAAAAGAUAACACGGGAGCCCAAAGGUCGGCUCAGGUGGUACAGAACGCCGCCGUAGAGUGCAAGGGCAAAAGCCGGCCUGACGAGACCCUUCAAAGUACGGGGUCUCGACGCGAAAGCGCGGCCUAGCGAACGCUCAUGCCCCCACACGUGGGGGCUGGGCAUGUCAGAAAAGUUACCCCGGGGAUAACAGGGUCGUCGCGGGCGAGAGCUCCCAUCGACCCCGCGGUUUGCUACAUCGAUGUCGGCUCUUCCCACCCUGGGGGUGCAGCUGCCCCCAAGGGUAGGGCUGCCCGCCCGUUAAAGGGGAACGUGAGCUGGGUUUAGACCGUCGCGAGACAGGUCGGACUCUAAGGGUUGGAGGUGCAGGUCGCCUGUGGGGAAGGUACUCCUAGUACGAGAGGAACAGGGUACCAGGGCCUCUAGUCUACCGGUUGUCCGGUAGGGCAAUGCCGGGCAGCCACGCCCUAAGGGGUAAUCGCUGAAAGCAUCUAAGCGAGAACCCCUCCCCGAAAAGAGGCGGCC
Molecule: ribosomal RNA, 2898 nt
Filed under: Acidianus brierleyi
Lineage: Archaea; Thermoproteati; Thermoproteota; Thermoprotei; Sulfolobales; Sulfolobaceae
Description: bacterial LSU rRNA
Rfam family: Archaeal large subunit ribosomal RNA
Source: RNAcentral